AGCAUCUGGCAAUGAUCGGGGGAAUGGCGAUGGUAAGCGAAUGAAGAAUGAUGUGUCGGCAAAAGCAUCUGGCAAUGAUCGGGGGAAUGGCGAUGGUAAGCGAAUGAAGAAUGAUGUGUCGGCAAAAGCAUCUGGCAAUGAUCGGGGGAAUGGCGAUGGUAAGCGAAUGAAGAAUGAUGUGUCGGCAAAAGCAUCUGGCAAUGAUCGGGGGAAUGGCGAUGGUAAGCAAAUGAAGAAUGAUGUGUCGGCAAAAG
This is a long non-coding RNA of Helianthus annuus (common sunflower), 254 nucleotides long. RefSeq lists it as uncharacterized. The record is from RefSeq and is a predicted model, not a curated record. Lineage: Eukaryota; Viridiplantae; Streptophyta; Magnoliopsida; Asterales; Asteraceae. The transcript is spliced from 4 exons.